GGUCUCGUGGUGUAGCGGUUAUCACGCCUGCUUUACACGCAGGAGGUAGCCGGCUCGAUCCCGGCCGAGAUCA
RNAcentral lists this transfer RNA (73 nucleotides) under Toxocara canis (dog roundworm). It matches the Rfam family "tRNA". Rfam says of the family: Transfer RNA (tRNA) molecules are approximately 80 nucleotides in length. The record is from Rfam by way of RNAcentral. Lineage: Eukaryota; Metazoa; Nematoda; Chromadorea; Rhabditida; Toxocaridae.